Molecule: ribosomal RNA, 403 nt
Filed under: uncultured bacterium
Lineage: Bacteria
Description: partial 16S ribosomal RNA
Rfam family: Bacterial small subunit ribosomal RNA
Source: RNAcentral
AUUGAACGCUGGCGGCAGGCCUAACACAUGCAAGUCGAGCGAGAGGCGGACGGGUGAGUAAUGUAUGGGGACUGCCCGAUAGAGGGGGAUAAAUACUGGAAACGGUGGCUAAUACCGCAUACUAUCGGAUAACCCAUAUGGGAUUAGAUAGUAGGUGGGGUAAAGGCUCACCUAGGCGACGAUCUUUCGCUGGUCUGAGAGGAUGAUCAGCCACUCUUGGACUGAGACACGUCCCAGACUCCUACGGAGGCAGCAGUGGGGAAUAUUUGCAAAUGGGCGCAAGCCUGAUGCAGCCCUGCGGCGUGUAGGAAGAAGGCCUUAGGGUUGUAAAGUACGUUCAGCGGGGAGGCGUUACCCGCAGAAGAAGCACCGGCUAACUCCGUGCCAGCCGCCGCGGUAAUUC